CUCAUUACGGCCCUGGCAAACGCUUUCCGUGCAUUGAUGCAGGCCUCCUAAGUCAGUUAUCUCGCCACUUCACAGCUCCUGCAGCCUCGCCAGGAUUCACAGCCGCCGCGAAAAGAUGCGCUAAUUGACACAGCCUGGGGGCACAGGUUCGGGAAUAUUCCUCUUUGUGUGCUAGCUGAGUGUUUUAAUGGGGCUCCGCACCCUGCCUGGACGCCAGCAUUGAUGCGGCGCUGGCUGAGACCCCUCUGCCGUCUUUCUCUUUUUGUCGCGAUGCGAUUCGGCAGAGGAGGCUGCUUUUUGUGAUUCCCGGAUACUAGAUUGAAUACAGCUCUGCACACGCCACGCAUCCGCCGCUCUGGAGACCUGAGGGCCCGCGGGAAACGCAGAUGCUGGGAGCAGACUGUCUGCAGCCUGGAAUAAAUGUAGAGAAGGUGUAGAGAGAGAGCGAGAGAGAGAAAGAGAGAGAGGGAGGCGAGUGAGUGAGAGAGCGAGCAAGGGAGGGAGAGAGAGAGAGACAGCGACGGAGAGAGGAGCAAAUUCAGCCCAGGACGGCGAAGAGGAAAUGCAUUCCCAGCCCGCCUCAGCUUCCCUCACCACUGGCACCGAGCACUGAGGCUUUCCACGGAGCUUUCUCCUUUUUUAUUUUUUUAUUCGUUUGUUGGUUUGUUUGCUCUCCCUCUCCGUAGUCCGCCGUCCGCCAGCGUCCCCGGAUGGCCGACUGAGGACACGCGCAGGGCGGCAGGAAAAUGAACUGGGAGGAGAAGUGGUGAAGCCUUCGCUUUGGAGUAACAGCUGCCUUUGAGAGCCGGAGAGACAUACAGGAUGGAGGUGAACGCAGAUGAGAAGCGACAUCGCACUCGCUCCAAAGGUAUCCGGGUGCCUGUGGAACCGGCAAUCCAAGAGCUCUUCAGCUGCCCGACGCCAGGCUGCGAUGGGAGCGGGCACGUCAGUGGCAAGUACGCGCGGCACCGAAG
Molecule: non-coding RNA, 974 nt
Organism: Paramormyrops kingsleyae
Lineage: Eukaryota; Metazoa; Chordata; Actinopteri; Osteoglossiformes; Mormyridae
Source: RefSeq, a predicted model, not a curated record